RNAcentral lists this ribosomal RNA (162 nucleotides) under Polymorphus minutus. Its description in RNAcentral is "5.8S ribosomal RNA". It matches the Rfam family "5.8S ribosomal RNA". Rfam says of the family: 5.8S ribosomal RNA (5.8S rRNA) is a component of the large subunit of the eukaryotic ribosome. It is transcribed by RNA polymerase I as part of the 45S precursor that also contains 18S and 28S rRNA. The record is from RNAcentral. Lineage: Eukaryota; Metazoa; Acanthocephala; Palaeacanthocephala; Polymorphida; Polymorphidae.
UCACUGUACAGCGAAUCACUAGGCUCGCAGCUCGAGGAAGAGCAUUGCAUUAUGUGAUAAUUUCUGUGAAAUGCACAGCACACUGAACAGAAAAUACUUGAACGCAAAUUACAGUUGCGGGUAUAAUACCUGCGACUACAUCUGUCUGGGGCGGAUACUACU